This is a non-coding RNA of Podarcis lilfordi (Lilford's wall lizard), 5199 nucleotides long. NCBI's taxonomy places the organism in Eukaryota, Metazoa, Chordata, Lepidosauria, Squamata, Lacertidae. The record is from the annotation of a GenBank genome assembly.
UCUUGAAACUGACUUCUGUGCGCUUUGGAGAGCCAGUGUGUUGUGGUGGCUUCAGUGUGAACUAUGACCAGGUUGGGCAAGGUUCAGAUUGCUGCUCAGCCAUUGGGCUCAUUGAAUGACCUUGAACAAGGCACCCUCUCAGCCUAGUCUCAAAGGAGUUGUGAGGAUGGUGGGGGUACACACCAUAUAUGUUGCCCUACAUUUGUGGGUGGGAGGAAAAUGUUAUAGAAGGUGAUGGUUAUGGCCACAUUAAUAAAUGUAUAAUUCAUUAUAAUCUAAUUAAAUUAUGGUGGGCCGGGGUCAAUGAAGUUAGCAGAUGAUGGAUAUUAUUUUAAAAUAUAUAAGAUGUCCAGUUAGUGAUCGAUUGAUUUGCAGAAUGUUUUAGCAGAGAUUUAUUAGUAAUGAUCACAGUGGCUUCUCAGAUUAGGAUAAUACAAACAAGCUAUUGGGAGGGCUUAUAAAUAGAGCAGUCUUGUAUCAAAUGCCAAAUAUGCACGACUGCGUUUUGAAUCAGGCUCUUGCAAAGUGGCAGGUUUCCUGAUUUAUGUAUGUAGUAUCUAAUAUGUAAGGACCAUCUGCACCCUUAGAACUUGCCCAAACCCUACAGUCACCCUUGAAAGCCCUUUUCUUUGUCCCACCACUAAGGAUGAGCCUAUUAGUGAAUAUUACGGGCAAGGAUUUUCAGUGGUGGCCCCUCAGUUGUGAAUCUCCUUCCCUGGAGAACUCUGCUUAGCUCCUCCCCACUAGUACACAGGAGAAACAAACCAUAAUCCGUUCCUUGGUGUUAUGUCCAAACCAGGGGUUGUGGUUUCUUUCUCAUAAACACACGACUGUAAGUAAACCAAAACUAAUUGUGGUUUUCUUGGAGUUAAAAAAGAUCACCAUACCUAGUUCAACCAUCGCGCUGAACAAAGGAUCAUAGCUUGUCCGUUUCCAGUCACAAGUGUGCUUGCUAAACUAAGGCUAUAGAUUGGAAUGCCUCAGUUCUGAUUUAUUUUAUUUUUAAGAAUAAUGAUGUUUUGUGGUAUUUGUGAACCUGUUUGCUCCGUUACUAAGAUAUUUAAGACAAACUGUCACUAGUACAUGUUACUUGAGUGUGAUUGACAGCGCUCUUAUACCACUUCAGAAAACAAUGGAAUGUGCACCUUGAAGGGAGAGAACAUGCUUGACUUCCUGCUUAAGUCUAAAGUUAAAAGGCUUCAUGAAGAGCAUUAAGUAGUUUCACAGUGCAGAUCAAAUACUGAUUAUGAUGGAGAAAAAACGUGACUUGGAAAUGUUGAAGAAAGUUAUUUCUACUUGAUUCAUCUGUUUUUAAAGGAGUGGUGAAAAGAAGAUAAAAAUAACCAGCCAAUUCUACAUAAUCCUCUAGGCUCUUUGUGACUGGCUUGACUUUUGCACCUACUCACGAGCCAAGCUUUCCCACGCGUGCUAUAAGCAUUCUGUUACUUCCUGGCUUGGAUGUGUGUGGUGUUGGGCAAGCAGUUUAAACUUCCUAGGAUUCCGGUGUUAGCUUCUAGCCCUUUCAGUUACGGGAGGGAAAUCUGUGAAUGUUACCUGAUUACAUGUUGACUAGACUCCAUGAGGACUACAGGAGGAAAAUAAGCAAAUUUAUUUAUUUACUUAUUUAUUUCAUAGAAUUUAUGUACCACUUGAUUGGUUGUUGUUGUUUUUUUUAAAAAAAAACAACCUUCAAAGUGGUUAGCCAAGGAAAAAACAAUAUAUAUAUCUGUCUGCUUUUUAUUUAAAUGUAUGUCUAGUUUGGCCCCUACACAAUCAGCCCCUUGGAGGAAAUAGAGGAAAGCACUGCUCUCUCACAGAAGAUUUUCUCUAAUUAGUGUUGGACAAGGCAACACUUCCCUUGUUUCUCAAAGCCCUAUCUAGUCUGACAAACAGGGAUGCAAGAGCUGAGCCAUAAGUGAUGGCUGUAUUCGAGUUAGAGAAUGCUUAUUUUAACAUGCCAAUUCACUAUGGUGUACCAAGUAUCAAAAUAAAACAAAACCGAGGUCCCUUUCUGUCAUAAUUUGCUGCACCCAAAGUGUUGUAGCUCCUGUUGUCCCUACUGCAAAUGACUACCAGCCACCCAAGUGUUCUUAACCCCUAAACCUAUGGGUAGGAUUCUACAAGAGUCGGCUCUUAGAACACUUACAGAUACCUUCCUCAUGAAAAUAGAUGUAACAUUACUCAAUUAACUUUGCUUAAUCAAGGCCAUGGCUUAAUAUCAAUGUCUAGUUACAAAAUAAUUGAAAAAGAUUUUGCCAUAGUUUAAAUCUUCUGGGUUGUACACCUAUUGCUCCUCUGCUAUGUAUGUGAUUAUUCUCUCUGCAGAAAGUAGCAGUGAACACAGCUGGUUUUCUGUCACCCUCACCACAGGCUUAACAGAGUGUCUGCUUGACAGAUUGUGAUUGCAUACAUGUGCGUCCGAAGGAGGAUACAAAUACUAGGAGAUAAAACACUCAGUAGUUCAUUUAAGGUGGAUGCAGCAACGCUACUUUGGCAUGUCCACGUAAUGUCAAAGGCAGCUUAUGAUAUGCUAUCACUAAUAUGCUACUUAAUACGUUAUAACACACCCAGUCUAAUAAUUCUCAAGAGCUUAGAAACAGCACAGAACUUUGUACAAGAUUAGAGAAAGGAAAAACUUUAGAGCCAUUCCACUUCCCUAUGUGAUAUUGCCACCACUGUCAUCAUAUUGCCAACCUCAAACACAACACAUCCUGAUGCUUAGCAUGAAUGCAGAUGCAAUGUUUCUCUGAGGACUGAUUAUUAUUAUGAUUAUUAUUAUUAAUCCUUAGGGUUGGGGGAAGGAAUCUUUUUUAAAGGUUUAGACCUUUAAAAAAAUGUUUGUCGUUUCUAAUAUGUUUAUAUUAUCUGAUUGUAAGCUGCUUUGGUGGGUGCAAAAUGUAGGGUAUCAAUUUUUUUUUAAUAACUAUAUGCUUAAAUCAUGUAGACAAGAAGUGUAAAAGGUCUAGGACUAGUUGUCUUUUGCAUCUAUAUAUACUUUUCUAUCAGGUGUCAGUUGUAGCCUGUUAUCAGGAUUAAAUAUUUAGGAAUCCUGUACUUUUCUAAAGGCCGUUUUGUACCAUAAUGGAAUUGGGUUAAAGACUUUGGGCCACACAGAGAGUAAUACAUGUGCAAUCAGAUACCACAAAGCACCUGUUGCACUCAGGUUUCUGUCAAAUCAUUGCAAAGUGGAAAUUCAGGUCUGAUUGAUGCUCAAAAGUAUGAGGAGGUACAAAUCCCACAGAUCUGUUUCUUAUCAGGUGCUCCACACAGUAAACAAAUGCUGACUGAUGGCAGAGCUUUUGAACAGAUGAGUUUCAGAUAAUGGAAAGAACCUUGUCUGUUUCUCAUCUCCAGUUUGGCAGCUAGAUUUAUAGAAGCUGAAGAACACCUGAAAUUGGUUGUCUCUCUCGUGAUAAUGACAGUAGAGUCAAAACAGGCCUGUACAGUGGAGGUCCUGGGCAGGUAUCUGCCAUUAGUAUUGAAUUUAGUGUGUAUGCUCAUUUUAGCUUUCUGUUGGUGAGAAUUCAGUGGUUCCUGUUUACACUGCUGCUGUUUCUAAGUAUGUCUGGGUUAUCUCAAAGCUAUGGGUUAGUUCUACGCAAGUUUAAUCAACCCAGGCUGCUGAUCCUGUGCCUUACCUAUGGCAAAUCUCAGCUGUUUUUCAGUGGCGAGUGGGGACUCCUUGGAGGUCCUUGGAACAAGCCAGUUUAGUGCCAAACUUCCCUUUUGGUUUGUCACUCACUCAUUGUUGAAAAUUGUUCUGCUGUAACCGAGUUGAGAGAAAUUGACAAGCAAAUGCCAGUAACUAUGCAUUCUUUUUCACAUCACAGAAGAAAAUCAGUGUUGACACAUUUCAUCUUCGGAAUAAAAGCAUUAAACGUUCAUUUCCCACACUUCAUGAGAACUGUUGCAGUGCCAUUCAAAGUCUGACAUUUUUGUUGCUUUCUUUGAUGUAAUUCUACCAAGGCAUACAGUGGUACCUCGGGUUACAUACGCUUCAGGUUACAGACUCAGCUAACCCAGAAAUAGUGCUUCAGGUUAAGAACUUUGCUUCAGGAUGAGAACAGAAAUCUUGCUCAGGCGGCGCGGCAGCAGCAGGAGGCCCCAUUAGCUAAAGUGGUGCUUCAGGUUAAGAACAGUUUCAGGUUAAGAACGGACCUCCGGAACGAAUUAAGUACUUAACCCGAGGUACCACUGUACUAUGGAGCCCUCUAGAUUUAGAUCAGUGGUAGCCUAUGUGGCUGCUUCCAGAUGUUGUUGGACCACAAUUCUCAUCUAAGUAUGGCAUAUGCUGAUUGAUUCAUGGUGGUAAAUGUUCUGCCUGGGUUUUAGAUUUUUACUUACCGACUGCAAAUCAUUGACCAUCUCUUUUAUUGGAAUGUAUAAGAAAUAAUUUUUAUAUCGGGAUUUGUAGUCUUCGGUGUUAUGUUUUCAUUUAAAUACAUAGUGCAGCUUAGAAAAGCCAUGUUUUGCCCUGGAUAUUUUAAACUGUGGAAAUGUUUCUUGAAUUGCCAGUAGUACAUCUAAACAGAACGUCUUAACAUAUAAAAACUCCACCAAGCACAUCUAUGAACAUUGUUGUAUUAUAGUUCCUCACUUAGAUGAUCUGUGGGUAUCUCUGCUGCUAAGAAGAUUCUGUUUAAAUAAGGAUCUUAUCAUUAAUUUAUACUUUUAUUGCAUUUUGGGGUUAGAUUAAAAGUUGUGCAUUGCUGUGCUGAAUAGUUUUCCUGGCUAGUCAGCUACUUCAGGAUGGCUGCACGCUUGGUGACCCAUCCUUACUGAACUUCUGGAUCAGACUUGUGUGGCUUUCCACCUUCCCAUUCAGCACUUCCAUGUAUCUUAUUGUUGGGGGGGGCGUGUUUAUCUUCAACCUAUAAAUAUUGCUCUCCGUGUAUGCACCACAGAAGCUUCAGUAAAGUGGUCAAGCUCGCCAACACGAAACUGUUGCUUUAAGCGGAGUUGUUUUGCUUGGCAUACACAAAACACACACUUUAUAUAGGUCGCACGAAGACUUUUCUCCCUCUGCUCCCAGAGGGGUUUCUGUACUUCAGAGCCCUUGCUGAACAAAAUCCGCACACAAGUUCUGAGUCAAUUUGCACAAAGUCCUGCAACAGCUUAGAGCAGUGGUUGCCAACUCGUGGUCAGCGUAGCCCAUGGGGUCCACAUAAACCACCUGGGGGUCCGUGGCACCACUAACAU